AAGGGCUCAUGAGAGAGAAUAUGGGUGUAUAAGUAGAUCUGGAAAUCAUCUACUUAGAGGUGAUAAUUGAAACCAUGGGAACUCAGGAAAUCAGUAAGGAAGAGCAUAGAGAGAGAAAAAAGAGUAGAGGGACUCAGGUAGAGCCUUGCUUUUGCUGUUUGUGAGUACCACAUAGAUGAAGAUCCUGCAAAAGAGACUUAGAAGGAACAGUUAGAUAUAAAGGAUGAGAACCAAGAGGGAAGAGAGUAGAAAAAGACCUAGUCAGAAAAGCAUAUCAAAGAGGAGAAUGUAGUCAACAAUUUCAAAUACUGCAAACAGAGUAACAUUAGAAUAUUACAUUGCAGAGGUGAGGUGAAAUAUGGACAAAGGAAAAGAAAAAGGGAAGAAAAUCAGAAAACUAUUUAAGUUUGUCUUCAUAACAACCAGAGAUAUUUGGGAAGUGAAAUAAGCCAGUGAUUUGGUGAUCAUUAAGAUGACAAAAAUGUUUUCACCGAAAACAGAAGACAAGAUGUCAAAGAAGUUAAUAUUCACCUCUAACCUCUGAUCUAGAUCUCUAUGCUUCUGGGUGAAUGAAAUUACCAAGUGUCAUUGGAACAAAUCACACCAGUGAUGCAUUUGUGAAAGAUUUGAUAGCUGGAAAAAUGUGGUCUUACAUCCAUAAGCACUGAGCCAAACCUGGACUGUUCUUCUAGAUUCCUUCAGUAUUUAAGAAGAAGGGACCAUGGACUGCAGCAUUUUGCCAUAUUUACAUAGAGUGACUCAUAAACAUUGUCUUGGCCUCAGAAUUUUUGCUUCUAUCUUGGAGAUAUAGUUCUCAUUCUCCUACCAUCAAAUAUUGUUAAAAUAAAGAAUUGAAACAGCCUAA
Phascolarctos cinereus (koala) is the source of this 865-nucleotide long non-coding RNA. RefSeq lists it as uncharacterized. Lineage: Eukaryota; Metazoa; Chordata; Mammalia; Diprotodontia; Phascolarctidae. The record is from RefSeq and is a predicted model, not a curated record.